This 468-nucleotide ribosomal RNA is filed under the name uncultured bacterium. RNAcentral describes it as "partial 16S ribosomal RNA". It matches the Rfam family "Bacterial small subunit ribosomal RNA", at positions 28 to 507 of the family's 1533-position model. The record is from RNAcentral.
GACGAACGCUGGCGGCGUGCUUAACACAUGCAAGUCGAACGGAAAGGCCCUGCUUUUGUGGGGUGCUCGAUUGGCGAACGGGUGAGUAACACGUGAGUAACCUGCCCUUGACUUUGUGAUAACUUCAGGAAACUGGGGCUAAUACCGGAUAGGAGCUCCUGCUGCAUGGUGGGGGUUGGAUAGUUUCGGCGGUUGGGGAUGGACUCGCGGCUUAUCAGCUUGUUGGUGGGGUAGUGGCUUACCAAGGCUUUGACGGGUAGCCGGCCUGAGAGGGUGACCGGCCACAUUGGGACUGAGAUACGGCCCAGACUCCUACGGGAGGCAGCAGUGGGGAAUAUUGCACAAUGGGCGGAAGCCUGAUGCAGCAACGCCGCGUGCGGGAUGACGGCCUUCGGGUUGUAAACCGCUUUCGCCUGUGACGAAGCGUGAGUGACGGUAAUGGGUAAAGAAGCACCGGCUAACUACGUG